RNAcentral lists this ribosomal RNA (282 nucleotides) under uncultured bacterium. Its description in RNAcentral is "partial 16S ribosomal RNA". It matches the Rfam family "Bacterial small subunit ribosomal RNA", at positions 28 to 309 of the family's 1533-position model. The record is from RNAcentral.
GACGAACGCUGGCGGCGUGCUUAACACAUGCAAGUCGAGCGGUAAGGCCCUUUCGGGGGUACGACGAGCGGCGAACGGGUGAGUAACACGUGGGUGACCUGCCCUCAGCUCUGGGAUAAGCCUGGGAAACCGGGUCUAAUACUGGAUAUGACUCCAUGACGCAUGUUGGUGGGGUGGAAAGCCUUGUGCGGCUGAGGAUGGGCCCGCGGCCUAUCAGCUUGUUGGUGGGGUGANGGCCUACCAAGGCGACGACGGGUAGCCGGCCUGAGAGGGCGACCGGCC